CCCAGCCCUGACAGGCUGGGCUGAGAUAUGUCGCCCCGUUGGGGCU
RNAcentral lists this small RNA (46 nucleotides) under Cesiribacter andamanensis AMV16. RNAcentral describes it as "Acido-Lenti-1 RNA". It matches the Rfam family "Acido-Lenti-1 RNA". The record is from Rfam by way of RNAcentral. Lineage: Bacteria; Pseudomonadati; Bacteroidota; Cytophagia; Cytophagales; Cesiribacteraceae.